CGCGUAGGUGGUAGUGUAAGUCUGGGGUGGAAUCCCAGGGCUCAACCCUGGAACUGCCUUGGAAACUGCAUUACUUGAGUCAGUGAGGGGAGGGUAGAAUUCCUGGUGUAGCGGUGAAAUGCGUAGAUAUCAGGAGGAAGGCCUGUGGCGAAGGCGGCCCUCUGGCGCUGGACUGACACUGAGGCGCGAAAGCGUGGGGAGCAAACAGGAUUAGAUACCCUGGUAGUCCACGCCCUAAACGGUGGGCACUAGGUGUAGGGCUCGUAAGGUUCUGUGCCGAAGGGAAACCAUUAAGUGCCCCGCCUGGGAGUACGGCCGCAAGGUUGAA
RNAcentral lists this ribosomal RNA (328 nucleotides) under uncultured bacterium. RNAcentral describes it as "bacterial SSU rRNA". It matches the Rfam family "Bacterial small subunit ribosomal RNA", at positions 568 to 898 of the family's 1533-position model. The record is from RNAcentral.